GGUUGUUCACUCGGCAGCAUAACACAUGCAUGUGCAUAGCUCAGCACGCAGCAAUGCCGCCACGAUGGAGCUCGGUGUGCACGGCACCGGCGCCGUGAAUAGGCCAGCGGCAGCGAGUAGGAUUCAAGAAUAUUUGAAGACUUAUACAGAAACUAAACUAAAACUAAUACGAAGAAAGUCCUCACCUAAUCCCGUCAAUGAUCCCUACAGCUUUAGAUGGAAACAGGAGGACGAUCGCGGCACAGCAGGAGGAUUCAAGACGUAUGCUUCAUGGGCACCAAAAGGAUGGCCUGAUCAGCAGCAGGAUGAUCACUUGAUCAGCAGAUCGGCAGCAGG
RNAcentral lists this long non-coding RNA (336 nucleotides) under Sorghum bicolor (sorghum). Its description in RNAcentral is "long non-coding RNA (SBIC_LNC016286)". The record is from RNAcentral. Lineage: Eukaryota; Viridiplantae; Streptophyta; Magnoliopsida; Poales; Poaceae.